RNAcentral lists this ribosomal RNA (253 nucleotides) under uncultured bacterium. RNAcentral describes it as "partial 16S ribosomal RNA". It matches the Rfam family "Bacterial small subunit ribosomal RNA", at positions 524 to 776 of the family's 1533-position model. The record is from RNAcentral.
UACGUAGGCAGCAAGCGUUGUUCGGAGUUACUGGGCGUAAAGGGUGCGUAGGCGGCUUCUUAAGUCUGGUGUGAAAUCUCCCGGCUCAACUGGGAGGGUGCGCCGGAUACUGAGGGGCUAGAGUGUGGGAGAGGAAAGUGGAAUUCCUGGUGUAGCAGUGAAAUGCGUAGAUAUCAGGAGGAACACCGGUGGUGUAAACGGCUUUCUGGACCAUAACUGACGCUGAGGCACGAAAGCGUGGGUAGCAAACAGG